CCUACGGGCGGCAGCAGUGGGGAAUAUUGCUCAAUGGGGGAAACCCUGAUCCAGCGACGUCGCGUGAGUGAUGAAGUAAUUCGUUAUGUUAAGCUCUAUCAGCAGGGAAGAAAAUGACGGUACCUGAGUAAGAAGCCCCGGGUAACUACGUGCCAGCAGCCGCGGGAAUACGGAGGGGGCCGGCGUUAUCCGGAUUUACUGGGUGUAAAGGGAGCGUAGACGGCAGUGCAAGUCUGGAGUGAAAGGGGGGGGCUCAACCCCCGGACUGCCCUGGAAACUGUACGGCUGGAGUGCAGGAGAGGUAAGUGGAAUGCCUAGUGUAGCGGUGAAAUGCGUAGAUAUUAGGAGGAACACCAAUGGCGAAGGCAGCUUACUGGACUGUAACUGACGUUGAGGCUCGAAAGCGUGGGGAGCAAACAGGAUUAGAUACCCCUGUAGUC
RNAcentral lists this ribosomal RNA (440 nucleotides) under uncultured bacterium. RNAcentral's name for it is "partial 16S ribosomal RNA". It matches the Rfam family "Bacterial small subunit ribosomal RNA", at positions 338 to 795 of the family's 1533-position model. The record is from RNAcentral.